Molecule: long non-coding RNA, 3203 nt
Filed under: Carica papaya (papaya)
Lineage: Eukaryota; Viridiplantae; Streptophyta; Magnoliopsida; Brassicales; Caricaceae
Description: long non-coding RNA (CPAP_LNC002278)
Source: RNAcentral
UUUUUUUUUUUUUGUUCUGAAUUUCUUACAAAAUACAAUACAGAGACUUAAUAGAUUUUAGUCCGCCGGAGUUGACUAAAAAGGGACCCGGCCUGCUCUUUUCUUGUUUGGUGAACCGUUCGAUUGUCGACGAUGAAAUUUGACGGUUCAGAUUGAGUGUUGCUUCCAGUAAUUUUCAGGGUAAGUCUUUUGAAUCGAAUUCUUUCCUUUUCUUUAAAUUAAAAAAAAAAAACAUAUAAAAUAUUUUAGAAAAUUAUACAUCUAUUUUGCUAAGAUGUUUAAUAUUUUUUAAAUUUUAAUAGUUUCAAGAUUUUUCAAAAAAUUAUUUUUCAAUUAAUUUCUAAAAGAUUUUUAAUCAAUAACAUAACCAUUCAGUUUUUUAUUUUCUUAUAUAAUAACAUAUAUAUAUAUAUAUAUAAAUUUUAUACAUUCUAAAAAUUGGUAUAUAACUUACUUCCAUAAUAAGUUAUUUUUAAAGGUAACUUAGAUUCUAGAAAAAAGAAUUCUUUUGGCAUUUUCAAAAUAAAUAUUGUUUUGACUAUACAUAUUUUAAUUUUCAUAUACUUCUUUUACUUUCUUCAAGGUUUUAAUUUUCUAUGGCCAUAAAUAUAUCAAAAAAAUAUGGAAGAAAAAAAUUAUAAAUUAUCCGUUUGCUUAAAUUACAGAUUAAAUAAUUUAAUUAUAUUAAAAAUUUAUUUAAACGUUACAACUGAAAAAACUAAAAAUUGUAAUGUUAGUUCGUUAAACAAUUUUAUAGAUGAUUCGUAUUAAAGAAGAAGACAAUAACCUCUGAUAAUUUGCAUGCAUGGUUAAUGCGAAAUUAUUAUAGACGAUAACAGCGAUGAAACUUUAAUUAUUAGAAGGGUGAUUUAUUUUUCAUAUUCAGUUAAUAAAAAUUUAAUUCUUUUAUAAAACUAUAUCACAAAAAAAAUAAUAUUAACUUCAUCGAAUAAAACAUAAAAUAUUAUAAAAUAAUGAAUUAUGUUUUUUUUUUUUUUAAGAGUAAGUCUUUUAAUUAUAACUUGAUUCCAUAACAUCCAAAGCAUAUAAACUCUAAUAGAUGUAUAAAUAUCUCAUAACCUAAGAAAAAGCAUAAUUUAUAAUUUUUAAGUAUCAUAAGAACCAAUCAAUCAACUUUGACCAACAUUUUCUAUGAAACAAAUGGUAGAUAAAAUUAAACAAAAUAAAAGAUUAGAUGGAAUAAGCAUGGCUUGAGAAGUAACAUAAAGUCAUUCCAAGCCGUGAUAAUUCUUUAUUCUAAGAUGUUAAUUCUCAUAUUAGGUUAUAUUUUUAAAUAAAAAAAAAGGGAGGGAAAGGGGGAGUAACGAGAACGAAAGUAAAAAAUUAAAUUUUUAAAUAAAAAAUGUUGAUGAUAUUAUUCUACUGAUGUUUAUUAUUUCGUUCGCAUAUAAAAUUAUAAUAAAAAAAAUAAAAAUAAAAAUAAAAAUCUUAUUAUUACAAGAUAUUAAUAUGUUGAACGUGAAGCAAUAUUUAAAAAAAAAAAAAGAGAUGGAAACUAAUUAUUGAAAAAAAAAAUUAAAGGUUUUGGCCCUCUAUUUUGAUUAAAUGUUUAAAGGAUAAAGAAAAAUAUUAAGUAUAAGAAAUUUAACUUACGUAAAAAAAUAAUAAUAAAUAGAAGAAUAACUGAGGAGAAAUUAGAAACUCAAAAUUACAGAUUCAAUUCGAGCUCAAAGUGGUCGAAAUCAAGUUUGAUAAGCUUGAACAAAUAUAUAAUAUGUUAAUUUACAUAUUAUAGUAUUUAUACAAGAUUUUAAAGAUUAUUGUAUUUAUAAUAUUACAUAUAUUAACGUACAUGAAAUAUAAAGGGCAUGUUCACGAAUUUGAAGUUUGAAUCAAGUUCUUUAAUUGACUGAACUCCUUUCUAAAUUCUAUUUUGAUUUUGAUUUUUUUUUAAUUCGGAUAAAUAUAUAUAUAUAUAUAUAUGUGACUUUAUAUUUUAUAUUAAAAACAAAUAAAAAGUAGUAAUAAUAGUAAUAGUAAAAAAUCAUCUAACAAAUAAAAUAGAAAGAAAAUAAUAUUAUCUAAAUUUUAAAGUAUUUCUAAAUUAUUUUGAAGGAGACUAAAACUUAAAAAACACUAAAAUUUUAUCAAUUCUAACAAAAUUUAGAACAUAAAUUCUAUAUAAUGUCACUUUUUUUCUAUCAUUUUAUGGUUGAACUCAAAAUUAAUCCAAUUAUGAAUCACGCAUAAUUCUUCAUUGGUUUCGAAAUAUAACCUUAAAACACCCAUGAUUUGGAAGGAUAAAUUAGUUAUCCCUUGGUUAAAAUAGUUAAUACUUCCAUUGCUUGUCGUAAGACAACAGACAACAGCAAAGGCGGGAUGACGAAGAUCGAACCCAAUCAUCUUCCUUAGUGAUGACAGAGAAAACAAAAUUCAAUCUUACAACGUAAACAACAAGCAUUAUUGCACUUACUACAACAUCCCUUCCCUAAUUGCACUAAAUCCAGAACCUCUUCAAUUAUUAACGGUCGCUGCUUGCGAAACCUCCAGUUUUGGAAUCUCAAAGUUGUAUGGCCACCUUUGCUGCUGGGCAUUGCUUGCUUCAUCUUCAAAUUCAUGGGAGCUACCAACAACUCUGGUGUUGUUUCGAGGAAGAUGGCCUGUUUUGAUUGGCAACUAGAAUUUAUAUCAAUCAGAGUUCCCUUUUCUGCUGCACCAGGCGAUAAGAGCAUGUCUACAUCGUCACUUCUCCCGUUGCUUCUUUCAGUUUACAAAUGCAACAAUCCGAGAAAUGAGCACAAUAACAUUACAGGUAGCGUAUAGCAAAUCACUGCUUUUUAUGUCGUUACAAUUAUAGGAGUUGAAGAAAAUAAGACAGGACAAAUUUGCAAUCAUCUCCCAAGGGCUGUAUAAACAAUUUAAGAACACAAGUUGGCGAGGCAUUCUAAGCAAGGUAAUCUCAUUUUUUACUGUUACAAAAUACCGAAUGAAUCUGUAUUCUUCAGCUAAGGCUGGAACCAGACCCCCUUACACGUGGUUUUCUGCCAAAUGAGAAAACAUACCUCCCUAAAGCCUUGCAUUCCUGUAACUACCCCAAGCAUUUGAUGGUGUUCAGGAUUAGUACUUUAGCAUUGCCAUAAUGAUUUUGAGCAGUAUCAUGAUUUGUCUUCUCACUUCAGCUCUGGUUGGAGCCUCUGGCUAAUGAUGAAGCCCUACUAACCUCACCAACCUCACCCUUACAA